Molecule: ribosomal RNA, 449 nt
Filed under: uncultured bacterium
Lineage: Bacteria
Description: SSU rRNA
Rfam family: Bacterial small subunit ribosomal RNA
Source: RNAcentral
AGAGCGAACGCUGGCGGCAUGCUUAACACAUGCAAGUCGCACGGGCAGGGGUAACCCUGUCAGUGGCGGACGGGUGAGUAACGCGUAGGUAUCUAUCCUUGGGUGGGGGACAACUGUGGGAAACUACAGCUAAUACCGCAUGAUAACUGAGGUUUAAAGGCGCAAGUCGCCUGAGGAGGAGCCUGCGUACGAUUAGCUAGUUGGUGGGUAAAGGCCUACCAAGGCUGUGAUCGUUAGCUGGUCUGAGAGGAUGAUCAGCCACAUUGGGACUGAGACACGGCCCAAACUCCUACGGGAGGCAGCAGUGGGGAAUAUUGGACAAUGGGCGAAAGCCUGAUCCAGCAAUGCCGCGUGUGUGAAGAAGGUCUUCGGAUUGUAAAGCACUUUCGACGGGACGAUGAUGACGGUACCCGUAGAAGAAGCCCGGCUAACUUCGCGCCAGCAGCCGC